This is a long non-coding RNA of Hibiscus syriacus, 800 nucleotides long. RefSeq lists it as uncharacterized. The record is from RefSeq and is a predicted model, not a curated record. The transcript has 2 exons. NCBI's taxonomy places the organism in Eukaryota, Viridiplantae, Streptophyta, Magnoliopsida, Malvales, Malvaceae.
CUUUCUCUCUCUGCUUUUCAAAAUUCUAUCUUCUCUCUUUGCUAUCUAACAAACGGCGAAGAGAUCCGCCGCCGACCACAGCAUCGCCACCGUGCCGGCCGCCAUCUCUAAUGGUCGUUGGACACCAAACAAUAUCAGUCGACUCGUUUUGACACCGGUAAUGCAAAUCAAGACUUGGUUCCGCAGGAAUCGGCUCCCAUCUCCACAAAAAUGACCUACAACCUUUCGGUUUUUAUCUCACCGAUCUCCUCCGUCAACCGUUGGAUCGAAUCGGCUUUGAACUAUGUUACUUAUGUCACCACCAGGCUUCAUUUAACCGUCCGGAUCUGCCAUCUGACCACUGGAGCCACCGUCAUCGAAGACCUAAGCUUGGAUUUGCUGAAACCGUCUUAGGAUCGAGCUGGCGAGAGUUCGUUGAAACAGAGGACCAGCUGUCGUUGCUGCGUGUCCAUGCGAGCUAGUGAAGCUUCUGGAAGGAAGCAAACAAGUCAUGGAGCUCCAGUUGCUGUGAAACAUGAGAGGCGGUGCAAGUGUUUAAACAAACCCUAAUCUGAUAUUGGUCUAUUUGUUCGGGCCUUUUCAUUCGAGUCUUUUUGGUCCAUAGUGAUUUUGGGUAAAAAUGGAUUUUAGUUGCAUUAUAAAUGGGUCGUGUUAAUGGUUUGGACCACUGAUUUUGUAGUGGAUUAAUUGGUUUAAAAUUGUAAUUGGUUAAUGAGUGAGUUGUAAGGGUUUAAUGUAAUGGGUAAUGUUUGGUUACAAAGUUGAUUUGGUGGAUUUAUAAAUGGACUUUUAUUUUGGUA